RNAcentral lists this long non-coding RNA (222 nucleotides) under Cricetulus griseus (Chinese hamster). RNAcentral describes it as "lncRNA (ENSCGRG00000025720.1)". The record is from RNAcentral. Lineage: Eukaryota; Metazoa; Chordata; Mammalia; Rodentia; Cricetidae.
CCUGGGAAGCCUGGCCAGAUGCUGGCUAGUGUGCACCUGCACACCUCAUUUUGUCUUACUUGCUCUGGUGGGAAACAAAAGAGCAGCAAUAUGGCUGUUGCCCAGAUGAGGAACUCAGAAGAGGAACUACUAUGUGAACCGAGCCAUUGCCAUAUGGCCGAGCUUUUUCCCCUGCUGGCUGAUAUCAUACAGCCCUCAGAGAAGUUGGCUCCAUGAUCUAUC